CGGAGGGUGCGAGCGUUGUCCGGAAUCACUGGGCGUAAAGGGCGCGUAGGCGGCCUGAUAAGUAGGGGGUGAAAUCCUGCGGCUUAACCGCAGGGCUGCCUUCUAAACUGUCAGGCUAGAGCACAGUAGAGGCAGGUGGAAUUCCCGGUGUAGCGGUGGAAUGCGUAGAGAUCGGGAAGAACAUCAGUGGCGAAGGCGGCCUGCUGGGCUGUUGCUGACGCUGAGGCGCGACAGCGUGGGGAGACAAACAGGAUUAGACUACCCUGGUAGUCCACGACCGUAAACGAGUGGGCACUAGGCAUCGGGGGGAGCGACCCUCCCGGUGCCGUCGCUAACGCAGUAAGUGCCCCGCCUGGGGAGUACGGCCGCAAGGCUG
Molecule: ribosomal RNA, 376 nt
Filed under: uncultured organism
Description: bacterial SSU rRNA
Rfam family: Bacterial small subunit ribosomal RNA
Source: RNAcentral